Oncorhynchus keta (chum salmon) is the source of this 929-nucleotide long non-coding RNA. RefSeq lists it as uncharacterized. NCBI's taxonomy places the organism in Eukaryota, Metazoa, Chordata, Actinopteri, Salmoniformes, Salmonidae. The transcript has 3 exons. The record is from RefSeq and is a predicted model, not a curated record.
GAAUGAAUCCAGUCUAUCAGGCAGCAACACAACUAUCUCCCCUGAAUGAAUGAAUCCAGUCUAUCAGGCCCGAACACAACUAUCUCCCCUGAAUGAAUGAAUCCAGUCUAUCAGGCCCGCAACACAACUAUCUCCCCUGAAUGAAUGAAUCCAGUCUCUCAGGCCGCAUCUCAUUUAUGAGAAGGUUUUAGGACGGAGAGUGAGUCUUAGGAAAUUAUACACUCUGCGUACCAAAUGGCACCCUAUUCCCUAUAUAGUGCACUAUGGGCCCUGGUCAAAAGUAGUGCAUUAUAUAGGGGAAAGGGUGCCAUUUGGGACACAGACAGACUGUGUUUCUGACAUCUUCCUUGUGUUAUGUCAGAUACCAUGUGGGGAAGAGAUAUAGUGUCCCGUCGUCACUGAGGGAUCUGUCUUCAUUCUUUCUCUUUUAUCUCUGUGACAAGCUGACAGUGAUAUUUUGGGACCUGAGACACAUCUCCUGAUAAUUGGUUCCCGUCGCCCGUCACCUGAGGGGAGAGUGUGAGCCGUUGCUCUGGCACUUCCGUCACCUGUCACCUCUACAGGACCUGAGCCCUUGGACCAUGCCCCAAGACUACCUGACAUGAUGACUCCUUGCUGUCCCCAGUCCACCUGGCCGUGCUGCUGCUCCAGUUUCAACUGUUCUGCCUUGUUAUUAUUUGACCAUGCUGGUCAUUUAUGAACAUUUGAACAUCUUGGUCAUGUUCUGUUAUAAUCUCCACCCGGCACAGCCAGAAGAGGACUGGCCACCCCUCAUAGCCUGGUUCCUCUCUAGGUUGAUAAUCUCCACCCGGCACAGCCAGAAGAGGACUGGCCACCCCACAUAGCCUGGUUCCUCUCUAGGUUUAUAAUCUCCACCCGGCACAGCCAGAAGAGGACUAGCCACCCCACAUAGCCUGGUUCCUCUCAUG